GCCCUUCCCCUUUCCCCUACCCCUAUUCAAAAAGUAGAAUUGGGAUAGCCAUUAAGCCUCGUGAACGUGCAUAUCAUAGGGGUAGGGGUAAGGGGUAGGAUUGGGAUUGGCCCUUUGCAUAACGAGCAUGCUGACAGUGUGCACACAAGAGCUCAGUGGCAUAACAGAGCAGAGUUUAUGUCUCCUUAAACCUAAAUACAGAUAAUAUUCUCAAAUAAAGGCAACAAAUAAACCAAAAAUGCUUCCUGAAACAGCAACACUGCCACCAAAAUUACAAUGUUUUUACAUUUACAUACAAAAUAAAAUCUUGUAAUUUUCCAAUACAAAACCAUUAUAAUCAGUCUCUUAACUGUUGACCUUCAUGUAAACACUUUACUCAUGUUGUACAACUAGUUUCUGAACUGGUCUCUCAAGACAAGACACUUGCUUCAAGCGUUCACCCUUCUUUCCAAAAUCUCUUUGUCCCAUCUAUAUUUUAACCUUUCACGCCAAACCAUCAUCAUCUCUGUUUGCUUCAACAACUUCUGCUAGUUUCCACUCGUUUCUAGGAAUGUUGUCUUGUGGCAAAAAUCAAGAAUCAAAAAUGACAAAGUAGAUUUUCUUAACCUGCCUCCUACCCUCAGGAUGUCCUCAUCAAGAAUAGGAUCAAGUUGAUUCAACUUACUGUUUUUUGUACAGUUUGCCUGUUUUGACUCAACUGUUUCAACUCUUGUUCUAAAGCUUCUCUUUGUGCAGCUUUGAGGAGUGAUAAGAAUCUCUCUUCAACACUAACUGGACCUGCUUUGUCUCCUUUUGUGAGUCUUUUUAUCCUUGCAACAACAUGAAGCUCUGUAGUCCAGUCUGACAAUCUAGAGAACCUCUUAAGAAAACCGUCUCUCCCUUAUGCUUGUGUUUUUAGAGUUUUCACUUCAGGUUCUCCGACUAAAAGCUCUGGAGAAUGUGGCUUUUGCUCCCAUAGAAAUGUCAGUCCAGUGAUCCAGUUAGCUUCUAUAAGCUCUGCCUGAGUCCUCUUGAUAUGAUCGGCUGGAGUUUGGUCUGAUUCAAUGUAAUUUUAUUGGUUUGGGUUUAUGAGGUCUCUGAUUUUCUGCACUCUGUUGGCUACAAACACAUGAAAGUGCUUCAUUUUUUAUGUUCCCAAGCACCAACUGAGAAUCUGUCCAGAAAAACUCCUCAUCUAUCUUCGGCUCCAGCUCUGCUCUGAGGAAGUUUCUCCUCCUGCAGAAACUCCUCCUGCAGUGAGCUCCAGGCCUGGUAUUGUGACUCUUGUGGGCGCUACUCUGGCCUUUGCCAUGACCAGGUGCAAUCCCCGACACUCCGUGUGCCGUGUGAGCACCACUUUGCACUGUGCUGCGCUGCUCCGACGUGCCGUGUGGACACGCUUCACGUGGAGGAUGAAUCGGCCUUGAAUCUGCUCCUGCGGCUGCAGUGCAGCUUCAUCUCACGAAGACUCAGUGAUGGAGGACGAAGAGGAGCUUAAACAGGAGAUGCUGAAGAUCUCUCCUUCCAAAUAUAGAGGUAACUUAGGAGAGUUAGAGUCAUGUGACUCACCAGUCCAGUGUUUUGUUUUUCCUGUGUCUCUCUCUGUGUUCAGCUCCCUCAGAGUCAGCCAGCAGCCACACAGCUGUGCCCUCCCUCACAGGUCGACCUCGUCAGGUCUCAAAUGGGUUCACUUCCUGAUCCAGAUGUUCAGUGUGUUCGUUUGGCCUCGUUCUGGCUUGUUCUGCUGCAUGCGUUCUCUCGUUCUUCUGUUAUACUAAGAGCAUGCAAUUCAACAAGAAAGGUAAGUGUUUCUGCAUGCUUCAUACCUGGAUCUGAAAGAUGAGGUAUGUGAAAUGCAUUUGUAUAUCAUAUCUUGUCCUGCCCUCACACUCCGUUGUGAGGCAGGUAGUUAACCAAUGUUCAGAAACCACACAGUGGUCUUUAAUAAUCACUGAUCAAAUGGUAAAAGUGCAAUAAAACAAACAGACAUAGCAUCAGAGCUUGGUGAAUAAUAAACAAGCAUGCUACCGCUAGCUUACGACUAAUUAGCGUAUAUGCUAACACUACAAAUAAACACAUUUUCAGAAGCACUACUGAUAUCAAACAUUUCAAAACACAAAAUAACACUCAGUGCAACGUCUAUACAUCAUAUUUAUCAACUUACAGGCUGUGCUGGCCCCAAGAUACAGUGUAGAAGACACAGAAGACCCGUUCUUCUCUCUCUCGGUUGGACAGGAAGUAAGCGGCGAGACUUCCGGUUUGAUUUCAAAAUAAAAACGAACCAUAAAGAACACGAAAAUAGAGAAAGACAGUUGCUCCUGUCCCUGCUGUUAGCACAUGGCCCAGGACAGCUGACUCCAGCACAGUUCCUCCUCAGCUGUUGGCUAUUGCUUCACAGCUUGGCGUUGAUGAACAGCAACCAGCUCCUACACAAGCCCCUGAAGCUCCACUCACUGUCCACCACCCCCCAGCUUCAGGGGAUCCUGACAUCGCCCACUGGAAGUGCUCUCACCAGCAGAAGAUCUGGAUGAGGAUGGAGCUGCAGACUCCAGGACUGUGGCCUGGUUCUGUCCCGGGAUGAGUUCCCUUUUCCUUGUGGCUCCAUCCUCCUCAGCCUGAUACAGCCACAGAGCUCCCCUCUCCUGAACAUUUCCAGCUCCAUCCGGUUUAUAUUUGGAAGCCCAAAAAUAAAAUUAUGGAGAGGCAGCGAAAUAAUGACACCCUGCCCUGUCUGCACAGCUGCACAAGUCCUCAGGUAGUUUCUUCUGGAGUGGGUCAGCCUCAAGUCAUCAUCAAGUCAUCAUUGGCAUCAGCGGGCAGUACUAUAUUUUUGAAUCCAGACUUACCUGCAAAGUCUGCAGAAAGUACUGGCAUGCUGACAACCCCAAGUGGCUCGAGAAACUACCGAAACGCUUCAACACAGUUGUGCCUGCUUUCAUCACCUACAAGAAGGCCGUAUGUAAGUCAGUGAUGGGCGAGCUGCGGAGGAGCGGGAGGUCGCCUGAGGACAUGGCCAAGCAGUUGUUGGAGGGGCUGCAUCUUAAGUGUGAGCGGGCACAGCUGGCUUAUCUCCUCAGUGUGCAGAACAUCUGGGAUGCUGAGGCUGGAGUCUAUGGCCAGAGAACCAUCACAGCCCAUCUGAGGCAGAGGGAAGAGCCAACGGCAAUCGGGGGAUAUGGAGUCUGAUGGAUGGGCUGGAGUGUCUGUUUCCUCCAUUCCCUGGUGGACUGCCUGGUCCCGGAGGACCAGCGGCAGGAGCAGCUCUUCACGCUGCUGCUGCAGGCCACAUGUGGUCAGCUGCUGAGGUCAGACCACACUUGUAAAGUGGCAAGAAAGGUGGUGCUUUCUUCUGGCACAAUGUCAUCUUAUGCUGUGAUGAGUGAGCACCGGACCGUUCUCACUGGGUCAUGCUGCAGUGGGAGUGUGAGCGCUCUCUGGGUCCCAUGUACGAGGGCCUGGCUUCAGCUCAGGAUCCAGGAGCGUCUUCUGUGGGACAGCUGGAGAACCACAGAUGCUGUUGUAGCAGAGGCCACUUCUGGUGAACUCACCAAUGUCUCUGCAUCCAGACUCAAGUUCAACAAGAACAUCAGCGUGAAGUUGGACUUGUUUCACUGUAUGUGACGUCUCACCAGGGAGUGUGAGUCAGAGCUCCGUCCUCUCUACAGCUAGUUCUGCCAGUUCCUCUCUGCUGCCUUUGUUGUUGUGGACCAGGAUGACCUAAGGAAGCUGAGAGAGGCCGACACUUUCUGUGGGAUCCCUCCACCAAAUCCCACCAAGCAGCACGUCCCAGAGCACUGCAGGACCAAGGUGACUGGAAAAGAGAAGUACCCGGCACUGAAGACACCUCAGCAGGACACGGGGGAGAUUCGGACUGCAGUAUGUGGAGCCUAGCUGCCGCCCGGUUGUCUUUAACUGGGAUAAGAUGGAGGUUGGAGCCACUGGAGAGGUUGUAGUUGCAGCUGUGCUUCCCUCUGCUUCCCAGGAUCCCCCUUGUGCCAAUCCAGUGUCGCCUCACAAAACUGAGACAGACCUGCCAGGACUGGCCUGGAGCAGCUCCUCGGGCCACCUGUACUGGACCAGUUAAAGCCGGAGGCCUGAUUCAUGUGCUGGACCACAGUCGGUGGACACAGGAGAUGAAGAAUGCCAUUGAUGGUCUGCUGGUGAAGCACCGUGGGACAAAGGACAUGUUGAGGAAGGUUGAUGCUGAGUAUGCGUCCAUGGUGCAAAGUACCUGCACUGACCCCAACAGCCUUCUUCAUCCCACAACAUGGCAGCAUAUCUCUAGAUCUGUGAAACACCAGGCCAAGUUGAAAAACACCCACUCUGUCCUGAACAGCAGCUCAGAGGAGGAGGUCUCUACACAGCAGCUCUGGAACAGUCUGACCACAGGCAGUCAGACCACCAUACUUUAAUGUCCAUUUAACAGGCUUUAUUGAGUUUACAAAACCAUCUAAAGAAUAAUGCAGGAUGGCACAAAUCAGUCAAAGACUGUGUUCACCCAGUCACACACACACACACACACACACAUACACAUUCAUUAUUCAACCCAAAUUGUAUAAAUUGUAAACAUUUUUAUGUCUUUAUAUCCUCUUUUGUUGUUAAAACAAAGUUAGUUUAUCAUGUUUUAUUGUUGUUUAAACAGAAACGUUUGCUGUCAGUCCAGGGCGAGCACGGCCCCACAAUACCCGCCCAUGCAGCCGGGACUGCUGAGGCCAACAUAAAGAGCAUUAACAGUAGUCCAGUCUGGAACUGAUGAAAGCAUGGGUCGUCUUUCCCAGAUCCCUGUGGCACCCCACAAGGGAGGGAAGCACAAGAGGAGUAGAGGUCACCAAUCCAAACACUGAGGACUCGCACUGGACGCCUCUACAGAUUCUGCCACUGAAGCAGGGUCCAAACAGCCCUCACAUUCACACUGGCUGUCCUGGAGUUCCUGGGAAGGACAUCUACUGUCCCUCAAAGCUGCUCUCUCUGUACAGGGACCAGGGGUCCACCAAGGAACUGUCGUAGAUGGACUUCCAAAGGUCUGCCUUCUCUGAGGCUGAGAGGGACAGAGGGACCAGUGAUGAUUCAUUGGUCACACUGGACUGAGUAUUGUCAUGGCCAUUACCAUUAUCAUUUAUUUUUUGUGUAAAUAUUUUCAAUUUCUGUAAAUAUCGUACAAGAGUUUAUUUAAAUGGGAUGUUUUGGGAAGCUAAAUGUGCAUAAAAUCAGUUUGUGCUUGUUUUUUCUCUCUUUCUUAUUGUAAAUAUUUUUAUUUACCAAACUACAGUAUUAUGUAUUUGAGCUUGUAUGCUGUAAAGUGCUGAGUGUUGUGUGUAGCCUAUACUUUCACAGUUAUGUACCGUCUCACUACAAAUUCUUUAAAUCUCUUGGUUGUUUUAUUUUUUCCCUUUAAAUUUGGUUAUCAUUGUCUUUUAUUACAGUAAAUUGAUUUAAUGUAUUAAUAUGAAGCUUGCAAUCUUUUUUAAUU
Molecule: long non-coding RNA, 5449 nt
Organism: Salarias fasciatus (jewelled blenny)
Lineage: Eukaryota; Metazoa; Chordata; Actinopteri; Blenniiformes; Blenniidae
Exons: 8
Source: RefSeq, a predicted model, not a curated record